GACGUAGGGUGCGAGCGUUGUCCGGAUUUAUUGGGCGUAAAGGGCGCGUAGGCGGCCACCGCAAGUCGACUGUGAAAUCUCCGGGCUUAACCCGGAAAGGUCAGCCGAUACUGCGGGGCUAGAGUGCAGAAGGGGCAACUGGAAUUCUCGGUGUAGCGGUGAAAUGCGUAGAUAUCGAGAGGAACACCUGCGGCGAAGGCGGGUUGCUGGGCUGACACUGACGCUGAGGCGCGAAAGCUAGGGGAGCGAACGGG
Molecule: ribosomal RNA, 254 nt
Filed under: uncultured bacterium
Lineage: Bacteria
Description: partial 16S ribosomal RNA
Rfam family: Bacterial small subunit ribosomal RNA
Source: RNAcentral